AGUCCGGAUCCCAAGUCCUGACUUCCAGACACAUCACCCAUCCUAUGCAAACUUCUGAGAGCCUGCCAGGAUGCCAUGUAGGCACAUGUGGGCUUGAGCCAUCCUCCUCCAAGAAGCCCCAGUACUGCGUGGGUGGCCAGUCAAAGAAUGGGACUAUCAAAUGGAAUAAGAGGAUGUAGUAUAAAGAACAUUGACUUGGGCUUGGAACGAGUUGUGCUACCUUGGCAAGAUUGAUCAUCCUGAGCAAAGCGAUGCCUUCCGAAGGCAGCUUCCCCUGCUGUCU
RNAcentral lists this long non-coding RNA (283 nucleotides) under Monodelphis domestica (gray short-tailed opossum). RNAcentral describes it as "lncRNA (ENSMODG00000047672.1)". The record is from RNAcentral. Lineage: Eukaryota; Metazoa; Chordata; Mammalia; Didelphimorphia; Didelphidae.